AAGUCGUAACAAGGUUUCUUGGGGAACAACACCUGCUUGAAGCCUUGGAUACCAGUCUACUUAUAUAGGCAACAUCUUCAAUAUGCUUGGAUACUGUCAUGGUAACAUGCAGCUGCUGAUACAGUUCACAGAUCAAACGAAGGUGGUCCAAAAACAAACCUGUCUUGGAUUCAGAUAUGACCGGCCUACUUCUGAAAAGGCUGUAGACCAUGUGUUCCGUAGGUGAACCUGCGGAAGGAUCAUUACAGAGAAAUUGCCCCUUGGGGUAGAUCUCCCACCCUUUGUUUACAUUACCUUUGUUGCUUUGGCAGGCCUGUCUUUUGACUACCGGCUUAGGCUGGUCUGUGCCUGCCAGAGGACCCUAAACUCUUGAUUUUUGUGUUGUCUGAGUAAUAUAAACAAAUAAGUUAAAACUUUCAACAACGGAUCUCUUGGUUCUGGCAUCGAUGAAGAACGCAGCGAAAUGCGAUAAGUAAUGUGAAUUGCAGAAUUCAGUGAAUCAUCGAAUCUUUGAACGCACAUUGCACCUUCUGGUAUUCCGGAGGGUAUGCCUGUUCGAGCGUCAUUUCAACCCUCAAGCCCAGCUUGGUAUUGGGUGCCACCUGGCAAUGGUGCACCUCAAAAUCAGUAGCANNGCCAUNUGGCUUCAAGUGUAGUAAAACUCUCGCUUUNNNNNACGGCGAGUGAGCGGCAACAGCUCAAAUUUGAAAUCUGGCCUUUGGUCCGAAUUGUAAUUNGUAGAGGAUGCUUUGAACAUGGUCUGGUCUAAGUUCCUUGGAACAGGACGUCAUAGAGGGUGAGAAUCCCGUAUGUGACUGGGUGCCUAAGUUCAUGUAAAGCUCCUUCAACGAGUCGAGUUGUUUGGGAAUGCAGCUCAAAAUGGGUGGUAAAUUUCAUCUAAAGCUAAAUAUUGGCCAGAGACCGAUAGCGCACAAGUAGAGUGAUCGAAAGAUGAAAAGCACUUUGGAAAGAGAGUUAAAUAGUACGUGAAAUUGUUGAAAGGGAAGCGCUUGCAAUCAGACUUGCAUACAGUUGAUCAUCCGAUGUUCUCACCGGUGCACUCAUCUGCAUUCAGGCCAGCAUCGGUUUUGAUGGUUGGAUAAAGGCCCUGGGAAUGUAGCUUCUUUCGGGGAGUGUUAUAGCCCAAGGUGCAAUGCAGCCUACCAGGACCGAGGACCGCGCUUCGGCUAGGAUGCUGGCGUAAUGGUUGUAAGCGACCCGUCUUGAAACACGGACC
Molecule: ribosomal RNA, 1237 nt
Filed under: uncultured fungus
Lineage: Eukaryota; Fungi
Description: eukaryotic LSU rRNA
Rfam family: Eukaryotic large subunit ribosomal RNA (bases 642-1237)
Source: RNAcentral